AACGAACGCUGGCGGCAUGCCUAACACAUGCAAGUCGAACGAGACCUUCGGGUCUAGUGGCGCACGGGUGCGUAACGCGUGGGAACCUGCCCUUAGGUUCGGAAUAACUCCCCGAAAGGGGUGCUAAUACCGGAUAAUGUCUUCGGACCAAAGAUUUAUCGCCUUUGGAUGGGCCCGCGUUGGAUUAGCUAGUUGGUAGGGUAAAAGCCUACCAAGGCGACGAUCCAUAGCUGGUCUGAGAGGAUGAUCAGCCACACUGGGACUGAGACACGGCCCAGACUCCUACGGGAGGAGGCAGUGGGGAAUAUAGGAAAAUGGGCGAAAGCCUGAUCCAGCAAUGCCGCGUGAGUGAUGAAGGCCUGAGGGUUGUAAAGCUCUUUUACCCGGGAUGAUAAUGACAGUACCGGGAGAAUAAGCCCCGGCUAACUCCGUG
This 433-nucleotide ribosomal RNA is filed under the name uncultured bacterium. Its description in RNAcentral is "partial 16S ribosomal RNA". It matches the Rfam family "Bacterial small subunit ribosomal RNA", at positions 29 to 507 of the family's 1533-position model. The record is from RNAcentral.